This is a long non-coding RNA of Cydia splendana, 401 nucleotides long. RefSeq lists it as uncharacterized. The record is from RefSeq and is a predicted model, not a curated record. The transcript is spliced from 2 exons. NCBI's taxonomy places the organism in Eukaryota, Metazoa, Arthropoda, Insecta, Lepidoptera, Tortricidae.
UAUUUCAAUCUUACAAGGUGUCUUUCCAGAUCUUAUGAAAUAUAGCAAAGUCAUACCUAUUUUUAAAUCGGGUGAUUCGAGUGAUAUGGCUAAUUUCCGUACAAUAUCAAUACUUCCUGUACUAAGUAAAGUCACUUCAACAGACAUACUUUACUUACAAGCAAGCAGUUUGGUUUCACAAAGGGCCGUUCCACGACCGAUGCUGCUUCGGUACUCAUUAAACAUAUUUAUAAUAUUUGGGAAAAUUCUUGUGAUGCAUUUGGCAUAUUUUGUGAUCUUUAUAAAGCAUUCGAUUGUGUGGAUCAUGGAACGCUCAUUUUGAAAUUAGAACACUAUGGUCUGUCAGAAAAUGCCCUAAACUUUAUGUCUUCUUACCUUAGCAAUAGAACACAAACAGUUGU